GGGGAUUUAGCUCAGUGGCUUAAGUGCCUGCCUGGCAAGCAUGAGGUUGUAAAUUCAAUCCCCA
This 64-nucleotide transfer RNA is filed under the name Cavia porcellus (domestic guinea pig). It matches the Rfam family "tRNA". Rfam says of the family: Transfer RNA (tRNA) molecules are approximately 80 nucleotides in length. Their secondary structure includes four short double-helical elements and three loops (D, anti-codon, and T loops). Lineage: Eukaryota; Metazoa; Chordata; Mammalia; Rodentia; Caviidae. The record is from Rfam by way of RNAcentral.